RNAcentral lists this ribosomal RNA (433 nucleotides) under uncultured bacterium. Its description in RNAcentral is "partial 16S ribosomal RNA". It matches the Rfam family "Bacterial small subunit ribosomal RNA", at positions 29 to 507 of the family's 1533-position model. The record is from RNAcentral.
AACGAACGCUGGCGGCAUGCCUAACACAUGCAAGUCGAACGAGACCUUCGGGUCUAGUGGCGCACGGGUGCGUAACGCGUGGGAACCUGCCCUUAGGUUCGGAAUAACUCCCCGAAAGGGGUGCUAAUACCGGAUAAUGUCUUCGGACCAAAGAUUUAUCGCCUUUGGAUGGGCCCGCGUUGGAUUAGCUAGUUGGUAGGGUAAAAGCCUACCAAGGCGACGAUCCAUAGCUGGUCUGAGAGGAUGAUCAGCCACACUGGGACUGAGACACGGCCCAGACUCCUACGGGAGGCAGCAGUGGGGAAUAUUGGACAAUGGGCGAAAGCCUGAUCCAGCAAUGCCGCGUGAGUGAUGAAGGGCUUAGGGUUGUAAAGCUCUUUUACCCGGGAUGAUAAUGACAGUACCGGGAGAAUAAGCUCCGGCUAACUCCGUG